This 253-nucleotide ribosomal RNA is filed under the name uncultured bacterium. RNAcentral's name for it is "partial 16S ribosomal RNA". It matches the Rfam family "Bacterial small subunit ribosomal RNA", at positions 524 to 776 of the family's 1533-position model. The record is from RNAcentral.
UACAGAGGGCUCAAGCGUUGUUCGGAUUCAUUGGGCGUAAAGGGUGCGUAGGUGGCGGGGUAAGUCUGGUGUGAAAUCUCGGGGCUCAACCCCGAAACUGCACUGGAUACUGCCUUGCUCGAGUACUGGAGAGGAGAUUGGAAUUUACGGUGUAGCAGUGAAAUGCGUAGAUAUCGUAAGGAAGACCAGUGGCGAAGGCGAAUCUCUGGACAGUUACUGACACUGAGGCACGAAGGCCAGGGGAGCAAACGGG